This 494-nucleotide ribosomal RNA is filed under the name uncultured bacterium. RNAcentral's name for it is "bacterial SSU rRNA". It matches the Rfam family "Bacterial small subunit ribosomal RNA", at positions 29 to 518 of the family's 1533-position model. The record is from RNAcentral.
AUGAACGCUAGCGACAGGCCUAACACAUGCAAGUCAGGGGCAGCACAAGGAGCAAUCUGAGGUGGCGACCGGCGCACGGGUGAGUAACACGUAUGCAACCUGCCUGUAAGCGGGGAAUAACCCGUUGGAAGACGGACUAAUACCGCAUAAUACUAAAUUACUGCAUGGUAAUUUAUUUAAACAUUUAUGGCUUACAGAUGGGCAUGCGCAUGAUUAGCUAGUUGGAGAGGUAACGGCUCCCCAAGGCAACGAUCAUUAGGGGUUCUGAGAGGAAGGUCCCCCCACACUGGUACUGAGACACGGACCAGACUCCUACGGGAGGCAGCAGUGAGGAAUAUUGGUCAAUGGACGAGAGUCUGAACCAGCCAAGUCGCGUGCAGGAAGAAUGUCCUAUGGAUUGUAAACUGCUUUUGCAGGGGAAUAAAGUGCAUCACGUGUGAUGUUUUGUAUGUACUCUGCGAAUAAGGAUCGGCUAACUCCGUGCCAGCCGCCGC